Molecule: transfer RNA, 91 nt
Filed under: Canis lupus familiaris (dog)
Lineage: Eukaryota; Metazoa; Chordata; Mammalia; Carnivora; Canidae
Also listed under: 1 other name
Rfam family: tRNA
About the family: Transfer RNA (tRNA) molecules are approximately 80 nucleotides in length.
Source: Rfam by way of RNAcentral
GCCUGGGUGGCUCAGUCGGUUGAGCAUCUGACUCUUGAUUUCAGCUCAGCUUAUGAUCUCAGGGUCAUGGGAUCGAGUCCCACACCGGGCU